AUACGGAGGGGGCUAGCGUUGUUCGGAUUUACUGGGCGUAAAGCGCGCGUAGGCGGUAUAUCAAGUUAGGCGUGAAAGCCCCGGGCUCAACCCGGGAACUGCGCUUAUUACUGAUAAACUAGAGUCCGGGAGAGGGUGGCGGAAUUCCCAGUGUAGAGGUGAAAUUCGUAGAUAUUGGGAAGAACACCAGUUGCGAAGGCGGCCACCUGGACCGGUACUGACGCUGAGGUGCGAAAGCGUGGGGAGCAAACAGGAUUAGAAACCCCUGUAGUCC
This 274-nucleotide ribosomal RNA is filed under the name uncultured bacterium. RNAcentral describes it as "partial 16S ribosomal RNA". It matches the Rfam family "Bacterial small subunit ribosomal RNA", at positions 523 to 796 of the family's 1533-position model. The record is from RNAcentral.